UACGGAGGGCGCAAGCGAUGUUCGGAAUCACUGGGCGUAAAGCGCGUGUAGGCGGCUUGGCAAGUCGGGUGUGAAAUCCCGGGGCUCAAACCCGGUACUGCAUUCGAUACUGCCUGGCUCGAGUCUCGGAGAGGGUGGCGGAAUUCCCGGUGUAGAGGUGAAAUUCGUAGAUAUCGGGAGGAACACCAGCGGCGAAGGCGGCCACCUGGACGGUGACUGACGCUGAGACGCGAAAGCGUGGGGAUCAAUCAGG
This 253-nucleotide ribosomal RNA is filed under the name uncultured bacterium. Its description in RNAcentral is "partial 16S ribosomal RNA". It matches the Rfam family "Bacterial small subunit ribosomal RNA", at positions 524 to 776 of the family's 1533-position model. The record is from RNAcentral.